RNAcentral lists this long non-coding RNA (212 nucleotides) under Manihot esculenta (cassava). RNAcentral's name for it is "long non-coding RNA (MESC_LNC000216)". Lineage: Eukaryota; Viridiplantae; Streptophyta; Magnoliopsida; Malpighiales; Euphorbiaceae. The record is from RNAcentral.
UCACAUUCAAAUAUUGGAUUUCAAGAUCAAGCUUAUUAAGGAAGCCAAAUCCAAAGAUCACAUGUUUCCCACUUAGUAUCAUGCACAUUCAAAAUUCAAAAGGAGGCUCCACCUUCCUUAUUAGUACAUGGGCAGCCUCUUAACUCUUUAGGCAACAUCUUGAAGACCUUGGGCAGCAAUUAAAAAGACCAAAGAGCCCCCACUUGCCCCCC